This is a long non-coding RNA of Coffea eugenioides, 421 nucleotides long. RefSeq lists it as uncharacterized. The record is from RefSeq and is a predicted model, not a curated record. Lineage: Eukaryota; Viridiplantae; Streptophyta; Magnoliopsida; Gentianales; Rubiaceae. The transcript has 2 exons.
AGCAGCCGUGCAUCAAGAAAGAAAAAGAACCAAAAAGCUCUUCCAAUUUCUUCUUCAUUUCUUCAUCAAAUCUUCCACCAAAUCACACCAAAAUUUAACCACACUUAGCUAAACACUUAGAGAUCAUUUUAAGCUGCAAAAAGGGGGAGCUUUUCACGGUUUUUCUUGGCCAAGAGGGGACCAAAAAAUUCUGUCUUUGUUCAUCACACAAGUAGGAAUGGAGGAAGUGAAUUUCGGAGGAACCCCUUUUGAUGUAUUUUGGUAUUAGGGUUUCAAAUGUUUUGGCUGGACUUGUGAUUGUUGUAUAGUUUGGGGAACUGAUGUAUCUUUUGGGAACUUGAUGUAAGGAUUGGCUAACUGAUGUAUUUUGAACUCGUGGUGUGAGCCUUGGAUGGUUGAUUAUGGAAGCGACUUUUCUUUA